This 687-nucleotide ribosomal RNA is filed under the name Gongronella butleri. RNAcentral's name for it is "eukaryotic LSU rRNA". It matches the Rfam family "Eukaryotic large subunit ribosomal RNA", at positions 50 to 648 of the family's 3401-position model. The record is from RNAcentral. Lineage: Eukaryota; Fungi; Mucoromycota; Mucoromycetes; Mucorales; Cunninghamellaceae.
GCGGAGGAAAAGAAAAUAACAAUGAUUCCCCUAGUAACGGCGAGUGAAGAGGGAAAAGCUCAAGUUUGGAAGCUUCGUGGCAUAGCUACGACGCGUUGUAAACUGAAGUUUUUUGGGUGAUUGGGCGACCGGAUAAAUAAGUCCUUUGGAAAGGGGCAACAUAGAGGGUGACAUUCCCGUCUUUGGUCCGAGUCAGUGCAGUCGCUGCCCAGGAAACGACGAGUCAGGUUGUUUGGGAAUGCAGCCUAAAAUGGGAGGUAAAUCUCUCCUAAAGCUAAAUACUGGCGUAAGACCGAUAGCGAACAAGUACCGUGAGGGAAAGAUGAAAAGGACUUUGAAAAGAGGGUCAAAUAGUACGUGAAAUUGUUGAAAGGGAACCGUAUGAAAGUAGACUGGCUUGGUGAUGAUCAAUGUGUGUUUCGGCACGCAUGCACUCAUUGCCUUUGCCAGCCAGCGGCAGUUUUUGCUAAAGGAAGAAAAUCAGGGGAAUGUAGCUUCGAUUUCGGUUGAAGUGUUAUAGCUCCUGGUAAAAUACUUUGGCAGAGACUGAGGCUAGCAGCGGAUCUUUGGGAACUUUGCGCGCUUGUCGUCCAAUGGUCAAGUUUUCUUCGGAUGCUUGGUCAUUGGGUGGCAACUCGUGUGAUGCUUCACCCUUCCGCUUAGUCGCUGCGUAAUGCUUUAUAUGAC